ACACAGACUUCAAAUAUCUUUGGGAAUUUGUGCUCCUUAUUUACUGAGUGCUUGAGAAGAAAAGACAAAGCCAGUGGAAUGGUCCGAGUGUGGCAUCCGCUGCAUUUAUAAAGAAUAAGAGCUGCAGUGGGUGUGAUUCUUGGACAGAGUGGCACUCAUCCUUGUUCCUGCAAUGAAGGACAUGCCAGCCUCCAGGCUCUUUGACAGAUGAUUGGAACUGUGCAAGUAUUAUGGAAGAUACCCCGUGUCAAGAAGCUGACAGCACACACGUUUGGGAAGGAUUUAGUGGCUGAAGCACUUCUAGAAGACAUCACCAAAAUGAAACAGUCUACUAUCAGCAAAGAAUGCCAGAGCAAGAGUGUGAAACAGAGAGCACAGAGCCGUGAUGCUGCCCCCUGCCGGUGGUGCAGGAGAAAGGACGCAACCUCAGUCUACGACUCCUGCCAAGAUUAUCAGCCACGCUAGAAACUAAAGGGUGAAAACAGGGUUUCUCUGCUGCAAUUCCAUUUCUUCCUCUAGAAACUUGUCGUAGGAAUGACUCCCUGUAACUUCCCACACCUGCCUCUUCUUUCUGUAAGUGUUGGCUAACAGAAUCCCCUCCUUCCUCGGUCCUUGCUAAGUGACUGAAUUCAGAAACUCCUGGACAAUAUUACAACCAUCCGUAUUACUGGUCUUUGGCGCUCUAGACUUAUUUUAGAAAGAAAAAUGUGGCAAAUCAUCCAAGAAUUUUCCUGUGCACAGCAUAGGGAUCUGUUUCUCUUACCAUCAGAAAGGGAUUCAUAGUCAUAAUCAUAUUCGUCCUCCUCAUCUUCCUCUUCCUCAUUAUUGGCAGGUGGGGGGUUGGCAUUCCCACCAUUAUAAGCCUGCGCUUGCAUAGAUGCUAACUGAUGAGCCUGUAAAAUAGCAAUAAUUGUAAACUGCAGAUGCCAAGUUAAUGAAUUCAUUUAUAACCUUUAAAACUACCCCUGAUGUUUAACACAAUCGUUAAAAGUGGCUUAACCUAUUUUGAUACAUUUGGGAGAGGAGAAAAAAAUCUAGAUUCACUCGAAAUGCAAUGUCAACACUUGGGUGAACGUUAGCAUUCCUACAGGAAGAAUCCUGGAGCUUUUAUAAACAAUCUCCAGAAGACUGUGUGCAGUGCCCAGCUAGCCAGGUUCCCAGGACAACCCCUCCAAGAGAAAGCUUUGGUGAUUUGGAGAACCAGCAUCAAUCCCAAGUGACUGAAGAAGUGAAUCACCCAUCAAUUUUUCAGAAGUAUGUCUCUGUUAAGAAACCAUUUUUUCCCCUUCUUAAAAUAAUAUCUACAGGCUCCUGACCUUGAGAACAAUAUUAGAAUCCCUAUGGACAAAGAGGCCAAAAGAAUUGUUGUU
RNAcentral lists this non-coding RNA (1370 nucleotides) under Pan troglodytes (chimpanzee). The record is from RNAcentral. Lineage: Eukaryota; Metazoa; Chordata; Mammalia; Primates; Hominidae.